Molecule: non-coding RNA, 76 nt
Organism: Myotis lucifugus (little brown bat)
Lineage: Eukaryota; Metazoa; Chordata; Mammalia; Chiroptera; Vespertilionidae
Source: Rfam
GAGACACCCUUAUGGGGCAGGACUUGCUUCAGUGGGGCUUUGGUGCUCACUGAGUCUGCCCCUUGAGAGUGUCUCA